CGGACCGGCGCACGGGUGAGUAACGCGUAUGCGACCUGCCCGUUGCAGGGGGGAUAAUCGGGAGAAAUCCCGUCUAAUACCGCGUAACGCCGCGGGGCUGCAUGGCCCUGCGGCCAAAGGGAGCGAUUCCGGCAACGGAUGGGCAUGCGUGACAUUAGCUAGUUGGCGGGGCAACGGCCCACCAAGGCGACGAUGUCUAGGGGUUCUGAGAGGAAGGUCCCCCACACUGGUACUGAGACACGGACCAGACUCCUACGGAAGGCAGCAG
This 268-nucleotide ribosomal RNA is filed under the name uncultured bacterium. RNAcentral describes it as "partial 16S ribosomal RNA". It matches the Rfam family "Bacterial small subunit ribosomal RNA", at positions 91 to 354 of the family's 1533-position model. The record is from RNAcentral.